Molecule: unclassified non-coding RNA, 334 nt
Filed under: soil metagenome
Description: partial contains 5.8S ribosomal RNA, internal transcribed spacer 2, and large subunit ribosomal RNA
Rfam family: 5.8S ribosomal RNA (bases 1-120)
Source: RNAcentral
GAUGAAGAACGUAGCGAAAUGCGAUAAGUAAUGUGAAUUGCAGAAUUCAGUGAAUCAUCGAAUCUUUGAACGCACAUUGCGCCCGCCAGUAUUCUGGCGGGCAUGCCUGUUCGAGCGUCAUUUCAACCAUCAAGCCCCGGGCUUGUGUUGGGGACCUGCGGCUGCCGCAGGCCCUGAAAUGCAGUGGCGGGCUCGCUGUCACUCCGAGCGUAGUAGUUACAUCUCGCUCUGGGCGUGCUGCGGGUUCCGGCCGUUAAAAGCCUUAUUUACCCAAGGUUGACCUCGGAUCAGGUAGGAAGACCCGCUGAACUUAAGUAUAUCAAUAAGCGGAGGA